This 714-nucleotide long non-coding RNA is filed under the name Felis catus (domestic cat). RNAcentral describes it as "lncRNA (ENSFCAG00000050805.1)". The record is from RNAcentral. Lineage: Eukaryota; Metazoa; Chordata; Mammalia; Carnivora; Felidae.
GGGAGCCGGGAGAGGGGGAGGGGUCGGAGGCCACGGGUCCAGAAACCGUUACUGGGAAGGCAAGUGGGCUGCGGCAGCCCUGGGCUGGGUGGGGCCGGGGUGGUCGAACCCGAGACCCGCGUGGGAGUUGAGGGGCGCGAGGCUGGUGUCCUGGUUCGCGGGAGCCAGCGGAGCAGGGGCCCGGGAAGGGGCGCGCGAGCCCGGGGGACGGUAACCGCUGCUGCACGGGGAUUGCUCCGGGCCCUCUCAGAGCCUUCUCCCUCAAGGGCGCUCUCAGGGAUCCACCAGAGCCCUAAAAACCGAAGCCUCUGGAACCUAUAUCCUCCCUCUGUCCGUCUCGCCCCAGAAUCUUCCCUGCGUCCUCCUCGCCCCCUCCCUCCUGCAGAUAUUUCUCUUACCACCUGGGCAGCUGGGCAGUUGCCCCACCGUUUUGAGCAAAGUGGAGCUAUGAAGCCAGAAACCUACAAGGAUGUCCUGCUGGAGCUUGGCUUCAACCAGGAUUACUUGUCCAUGUCUGGAGAUGGUAGAAGCCACUUUUCGGGAAGAGGCUUGAGCAAUGGAAACCCGAUCAAGGCCAAAGGGCCCACAGUAACCAGCCCCUCUCCAGCUGAAUACAGACAGGCCCAUCAGGUGACCCACCCAAAAUAUCCACAGGCCAAUUACCAAUGGGCUACUUACAACCAGGCACGGGCCCAGAAAAGGAGUAUCCCGUAA